AGAUUGAACGCUAGCGGGAUGCUUUACACAUGCAAGUCGAACGGCAGCGCGGACUUCGGUCUGGCGGCGAGUGGCGAACGGGUGAGUAAUGUAUCGGAACGUGCCUAGUAGCGGGGGAUAACUACGCGAAAGCGUGGCUAAUACCGCAUACGCCCUACGGGGGAAAGGGGGGGAUCGCAAGACCUCUCACUAUUAGAGCGGCCGAUAUCAGAUUAGCUAGUUGGUGAGGUAAAGGCUCACCAAGGCCGCGAUCUGUAGCUGGUUUGAGAGGACGACCAGCCACACUGGGACUGAGACACGGCCCAGACUCCUACGGGAGGCAGCAGUGGGAAUUUGGACAAUGGGGGAACCUGAUCCAGCCAUCCCGCGUGUGCGAUGAAGGCCUUCGGGUUGUAAAGCACUUUGGCAGGAAGAAACGGCAUUCCAUAAUACGGGUGUCGACUGACGGUACCUGCAGAAUAAGACACGCUAACUACGUGCCAGCAGCCGCGUAAUCUA
This 498-nucleotide ribosomal RNA is filed under the name uncultured soil bacterium. Its description in RNAcentral is "bacterial SSU rRNA". It matches the Rfam family "Bacterial small subunit ribosomal RNA", at positions 26 to 525 of the family's 1533-position model. The record is from RNAcentral.